AAUUGUUCGCAAUGGGCGCAAGCCUGACGACGCAACGCCGCGUGGAGGAUGAAGAUCUUCGGGUCGUAAACUCCUGUCGAAUGGGACGAAUGGAUCGCGGGUGAAUACCCUGCGAUCGUGACGGUACUGUUAAAGGAAACCCCGGCUAACUCCGUGCCGGCAGCCGCGGUAAUACGGGGGGGGUAAGCGUUGUUCGGAUUUAUUGGGUUUAAAGGGUGCGUAGGCGGCUAUUUAAGUCAGUGGUGAAAUCCUGCAGCUCAACUGUAGAACAGCCAUUGAUACUGAAUAGCUUGAGUACAGACGAGGUAGGCGGAAUAUAUGGUGUAGCGGUGAAAUGCAUAGAUACCAUAAAGAACCCCUAUUGCGAAGGCAGCUUACUAGGCUGUAACUGACGCUGAGGCACGAAAGCGUGGGGAUCAAAC
Molecule: ribosomal RNA, 422 nt
Filed under: uncultured bacterium
Lineage: Bacteria
Description: bacterial SSU rRNA
Rfam family: Bacterial small subunit ribosomal RNA
Source: RNAcentral